Molecule: long non-coding RNA, 1550 nt
Organism: Astatotilapia calliptera (eastern happy)
Lineage: Eukaryota; Metazoa; Chordata; Actinopteri; Cichliformes; Cichlidae
Source: Ensembl
GAAAAAACCAAAAGGAAAGGGAAAAAGCCAGCGCGCUGAAGCACUGUUGUCCAACACUGACUCUUUUUGAAGUCAGCUGUCUGCACAUGUACACAGCGGCUCACUUAAAAGCUGUUUGAAAAUCAGAUUGCAUGUGUGCUUCUGUGUUUCGUAGCCAUGCGUGUGCUUUUGCACACACGUGUGCGUCUGUUUGCAUGCACUCUCGGCAGCAGGAGGCUGUAACGUGUACCAUGCACACUCUGUAAUCACCGCUGUUUAUGACUGCAUAAAAUAACACUCGCUCGCUCUUUCUGUCCCCCUUCCCUCACUUUUACAGACACACAUUUACAGCUGCUGUCUCACUGGCUGUGUGAUUAUCACCGUCUGGUUCGGGGCUCUUAUCAGUGUUGUGAUGGAAGUGCGCACGCACACAACACACCUUCAGCCUGCCUGGCUCUCUCCUUCACUUUUCCUUCUCUUUUUCUUCCUCUUUCUAUUCCUCUUGCUCAGCUGUGUCGCGUCCUUUCCCCAGCGGCAUCGUGGUGUUGCGUCUGCGCUUGCCUUGCCGAGCUGUGUGCCAGUUGAGGAUUGGCAUUAAAGCCAGACAUGAGCUCAUCGGCCCAGCUGGGCAGACAGCCCAUUACAAUGCUCAGCAGAGCCCUACCGCAGGGGUGAAAAGAGCUCAAUACCUGCUGAUUAUCUACUCUUCCUCUCUGUCUGUGCCUCUAUGUCCCUCCCUCACUCACUCACUGGCUUUUGCUUUCACUUUGUUUCUUCUUUUUUUUGUUGGCACCUCUCUGCUUUUUUUUUCUCUGUUAUUCCUCGACUUUUUCCUUUUUCUUACCUUUUUCUUCUACUGUCCAUUAUUUUUUUUAUCUUCCCUUUAUUCGUUUUUUCUUUUAUAUUCCCACUUUCUUUUAUUUUCUCUUCCCUGUUUUUCCCUCUUCUUUUCUCUCUUCCUGUGUUUUAUCUCUUUUUCUCCUCAUACAUUUUCUUCUUCUAUGCUUUCCUUUUAUCUUGCCUUGUCUUUUCCUCCUGUCCUCCUUUUGCUCACCUUCUCUUCUUUUUUUUUCUUCUCAUCUUCUCUUCAUUCAUCCCUUUACUCUCAGUAUCCUCCACCUCAGGCUCUGUCUCUCUCUUCGUGAACUGUUUUAUUCACACACACACACACACACACACACACACACACUCUGCAUAUUUCUGUCUGCUCUGUCAUCCCCCUUUCUCUUCUUCUAGCUAUCUGUCUCUGACACACACAUGCAUAACUUUUCACUGAGAGCUGUGGUGUCAUUGCAGUGGAGCCUGCGGCAGUAAGAGAGGUAGGGAGGGGUAUUCUUUUCAAAUGACAGGGGUGUAAGUGAGGUGUGUGCAUUUGUGUGUGUGUGUGUGUGUGUGUGUGUGUGAAAAUGACAGGGGUGGGAAGCCAGACAGCUGGUGCACCUGUGUGGACAGGAUAUGACACGGCACUGCAGCCAGACAAGGGCAGGAAGCUGCAAAUAUGAUGUGGCAUGCCAGACGUUUUUAUUGAACGCAACUCUCUACUCUGCAAUCUGACUGUCUGGAGUGGCCUU